CAGACUCAGGGAAAGCUUGUGUUUGGAUCAAAUGUAAACCGUGCUGCUAAAGAAACUGAAAAGGUAGCAGCAAAAGAGUCUAAACAAGAGCAGCCCCCAAAGAAAGAAGAGCCAAAAUUCCAGCCUUUUUCUGGGAAAAAGUACUCGUUGAGGGGUUGAUGGAUUUUCAAACAAUCAACUGCUUUAACUUCUUUUGUUAUCCUUCACCUGUACCUAUGUGGAUCAGGAAAUACAAUAGAAUUAUGUAUUUAACUGGGAUGUUUUAACUACGAGAAGGUGAAACAGUAGUAGGUUCUCAUGUUAAAUGAAGAAAUGAAAAAGAAACCUAUUUCAUUUGUUA
Corylus avellana is the source of this 340-nucleotide non-coding RNA. NCBI's taxonomy places the organism in Eukaryota, Viridiplantae, Streptophyta, Magnoliopsida, Fagales, Betulaceae. The record is from RefSeq and is a predicted model, not a curated record.